RNAcentral lists this ribosomal RNA (337 nucleotides) under uncultured bacterium. Its description in RNAcentral is "bacterial SSU rRNA". It matches the Rfam family "Bacterial small subunit ribosomal RNA", at positions 18 to 344 of the family's 1533-position model. The record is from RNAcentral.
CAUGGCUCAGGAUGAACGCUAGCUAUAGGCUUAACACAUGCAAGUCGAGGGGAAACGGCAUUAUGUGCUUGCACAUUUUGGACGUCGACCGGCGCACGGGUGAGUAUCGCGUAUCCAACCUGCCCUUUACUUGGGGAUACCCCGUUGAAAGACGGCCUAAUACCCGAUGUAAUUCAUUGAUGGCAUCAGAUAUGAAUAAAAGAUUUAUCGGUAAAGGAUGGGGAUGCGUCUGAUUAGCUUGUUGGUGAGGUAAAGGCUCACCAAGGCGACGAUCAGUAGGGGUUCUGAGAGGAAGGUCCCCCACAUUGGAACUGAGACACGGUCCAAACUCCUACGG